Long non-coding RNA from Cyprinus carpio carpio, 1775 nucleotides. Lineage: Eukaryota; Metazoa; Chordata; Actinopteri; Cypriniformes; Cyprinidae. The record is from Ensembl.
GUUAGGCUCUCAAAAGAUGAAGGAGCCUCAACAUUUCUUUGAUAUGUUCAAAAUGAAAUAAUUAUAAUUCAAGAUGGGGGGUGCUAGGAAGAGGGGGAACAUAUUGCACCCAUUCAAAUCUAACUUUGUUCCCCAAACUGGAAGAUUGGAUUUUCUUUAUUAAAUUAUCUCUCUUGUUCACACACUCAAGGGGGCCAUUGGCUGUAGGCGCUGAAAGAAGGAGAUGAGGGGGAGCGAGAAAAGCAAGCGAGGGGGGAAAAGAAUCUCGUCUGGUUUGUUGGAUGCGAAGCUGGCAUAAUGCUGGUUUGGGGAGGAGAAUGAAAUGUUUUGUUCUGCUGAUGCCCUUCUCUGAGAAGGGUUCUGAAGAGGGACAGAUGUGUUUGUAUUCCAGGAAUUAUCAUUUCACUACACGGUCACCGCAUGUCUGAACAGUGCAAAGCACGGCUGUAGCGUAGGGGUAAGUAGAAAAAUAUAACCACAUGGGCCUCCACUGCUUGUCAAAGCUAAAGAGGAGAAACUAACAGAGGCUUCAGUUUGCUGGCUAAUUGGGCCCUGGUGGCUGACACCGUAGACUCAUGAGCAAAACAAACAUCAUUUCAAUAUCUCCACAACUGGACCCUUUAAACCAUGAUCACAGAGCAAAGUGGUUCCAACGCAAGACCACAUCUAAUUAAUCUGAGUCAGGAGCUCUAAAUGAAGGUAAAUCUUUUUACAUCAAUGGUUAGUUCAAUUACUAUGUGCGCAGUGGCACACUUUAGAUCUGGAGGACAGUUCAUAUGGCUGUAAUUAGCAGGCCUUGUUAAUGAAAGAGGAGGCAAAGCUUGCCCAGAGAUGGACUGUACUAUCUGUGGCAGUGGGCAGUGACCUUUGUAAACUUCAGUCUCCAAUUAUAAUUGAAAAAAGUUGAUUUUUGGUGUAAAACAAAGACAUUUUUACACAGUAAGGAAAGACAAAUGUAACAAUUAUUUUCACCAGAGAUGAGACCAACCCCUUCAGUAAUUGGAAAAAAAAGGGAACAGACCAACAGAGAAUAUUCUUUGCAUGCAACUUUCCAUAAAUGAGUAUAUUCUACACUGAAAACAUGAUAACCGGCAAAUGAUACCUUAAUUUGUUUUCUAAAAUGAUCUAACCCAUAAAAUGACAUAAAAUAACAUUUUUUGGCAUAAUUUUUGCAACAUAAAGCACAUACAUUUUUAAUGUGACCUAAAAAUAUAUAUAUAUAUUUUUGUAAAUUCUUACCUUUUGUAACUAUAUAGUUAGCCCUGUUUCAUACAGCACACAAAUGAAGCAAGUAAGCCCUAUUUUUAAUAUUUUCAAGAUUUGUAAAACAAGUUGAACAGAAAAAUAGAAUCAUACAAGCAACACUUUCUGACUGAAUUUAAAUGAUUUAAGCCAUUUAUUUUUGGGGUUUCAUUUGGUCUAAAAUGUAUAAUUUAUGGCUGAAAAUAUUUGCUUUAUUUUUAUUUUAUUUUAUUGAGCUGCAGUUCUGCUACAUAGUAAAACCUCUGUCAGUUUGAAAGUGCUAAUGUUACUUCUGCAGUUACACUGUUGCUUACAAACUGCUUGUGCUGCGUUGCAUGAACCGGACUGAAUUGUAAAAAGCAAUCAAUCCGAUUGUCUUUUUGAGCAAGCCUUUACCGUCCUGUGAUUUCACCCUGUCGCUUUUGUGCACUGGCACAUUCCAGAACACCAGAUAUACAUAUUCAUCUGACUCCUAUAGAAUGUGUCAAAUAGAGGUGUCCUAAUUGUGUCCUUGAUGAAAGGCUAUUAAUAUU